RNAcentral lists this ribosomal RNA (925 nucleotides) under Elphidium sp. Its description in RNAcentral is "SSU rRNA". It matches the Rfam family "Eukaryotic small subunit ribosomal RNA", at positions 1160 to 1789 of the family's 1831-position model. The record is from RNAcentral. Lineage: Eukaryota; Foraminifera; Rotaliida; Elphidiidae.
AAGGGCACCACAAGAACGCGUGGAGCAUGUGGCUUAAUUUGACUCAACGCGGGAAAUCUUACCGGGUCCGGACACACUGAGGAUUGACAGACAAUCGUAUUAAUUAAAAUUAAUAUUUUAAUUUUUACACAAUAAAGAUGCUAGUUCUUUCAUGAUUAUGUGAUAGGUGGUGCAUGGCCGUUCUUAGUUCGUGGAGUGAUCUGUCUGCUUAAUUGCGUUUCACAAUUGAUGAAUAAAUUUAAUAAAAUUAAAUAAUCUUGACCCCUGUAUAUUUUAAUGCAGUGCGUGUCUCGUUAUUAUAAAAUUUUUAUUCUAGGAAAGCAACGAACGUGACCGUAUCCUUUUGUUAACUCUCACUUAAUAGUAGAGUUUGAAUAUUAUUCUUAAAACUAAAGGGACCGCUGUUUCUUUUCUUAAACCCAGAGGAAGGUUACAGCAAUAACAGGUCUGUGAUGCCCUUAGAUGUUCCGGGCUGCACACGUGCUACAAUGAUUAUUUCAUUAAGCAUCUGCGUUUAAUAUUAAUUAUUAAAAUUAAAUAUGUGCCUUCUUCGAAAGUAAGCGGGUAAUCAAUUACAAGUAAUGAUUUCCCUUAAUUAAUAUAUGCACUCAUAUACGGUAUUUAAUAUCCCACACUUUAUUCUAUGUAUUAUGAGCGUGUGUAUCUUAUGCAAGUUAAUUUAAUUGUUAGCUUUUUAUCGUAUGUACAUUUGUCAAUUCAUAGUGGGGACAGACCAUUGUUAAUUGUUGGUCUCGGUCUUAACUAGGAAUGCCUUGUACGAGUCUUUGGUUCAACAAACCACCAGGAAUACGUCCCUGCCCUUUGUACACACCGCCCGUCGCUCUUACCGAUGAACUUCGCUAUGAGUUUGAAGGAAUAUUAAAGGAAAGAUAUAUGAAUAGUGUGGUUUAAAGGAAAGAGAAGU